RNAcentral lists this long non-coding RNA (254 nucleotides) under Elaeis guineensis (African oil palm). RNAcentral's name for it is "long non-coding RNA (EGUI_LNC060650)". The record is from RNAcentral. Lineage: Eukaryota; Viridiplantae; Streptophyta; Magnoliopsida; Arecales; Arecaceae.
AGCAGUCGUGGGAGGAGCUGGCUCUUUCAUGGCUUCCUCUUUGCCCUCGUCCUCAUCCAAGAAGGAGAGAUUAGCUUCAAAAAAUCAGACAGCGAUCAGGUGGCGACAAUCUUCGAAUCCGAUCCUAUGCCCCUCAUUACAGAACUCUUGAUCGAAUGCGACCAAGGCAUCAUGAUACUCCUCUGAUGCUUUGAAGUUAUCGACCGUCUGAGCCAUCUCUUGCUCAAAAUUCUUUAAAGCAUUGAAGGACUCCA